GCCAGGUGGGACGAGAUCCGAUUCCGCGAGUGAAAGAGCAACUUUGCGCUAAUGGAACUAGAGGGUCAGACUGGGAAGGGUCUUGCUCAUCCAGUGCUUCAGGGCCUAGCACAAGGCCUGUCCAUGGCAGAUGCUUUGAAUGUUUGCUCGGAAUUGAAGUGA
Molecule: long non-coding RNA, 162 nt
Filed under: Ictidomys tridecemlineatus (thirteen-lined ground squirrel)
Lineage: Eukaryota; Metazoa; Chordata; Mammalia; Rodentia; Sciuridae
Description: lncRNA (ENSSTOG00000034578.1)
Source: RNAcentral